RNAcentral lists this ribosomal RNA (254 nucleotides) under uncultured bacterium. Its description in RNAcentral is "partial 16S ribosomal RNA". It matches the Rfam family "Bacterial small subunit ribosomal RNA", at positions 524 to 776 of the family's 1533-position model. The record is from RNAcentral.
GACGAACCGUGCGAACGUUAUUCGGAAUCACUGGGCUUAAAGCGCGUGUAGGCGGGCUGCCACGUCGGGCGCUGAAAUCCCCCGGCUCAACCGGGGAACGGGCACCGAUACGAGCAGCCUAGAGGGGAGUAGGGGGACCUGGAACUUCCGGUGGAGCGGUGAAAUGCGUUGAGAUGUGGAGGAACACCGAUGGCGAAGGCAGCCUCCUGGGCCAGCACUGACGCUCAUGCACGAAAGCGUGGGGAGCAAACAGG